CUCAAACACAUCACCCACCCCUCCCUCGGCAUAGUGGUUGUGCAGAAGAAUGAAGCUGAAGCAGAGCUUGAGCAGUGUACAAUGGCCGUGUUUGUCAUCAUGGAGGAGGAGGAUCAUCUCUGGCCACCACAUGACAUUGGAAUUGUUCUUGAAGGUGUGGAAGUCCUCAAUGAGUUGCCAUCAGUCACACAUCGUUCCAGAGAUCUCAGUGCCUGCCCCGUCAAGUUCACUGUGUCUCUCAGGCCUGUCUCUCUCUCUUUCCUCCAGGGCUCCAGCUCUCCACAUGGAUAACCCCAGGCACAACAUGAAUCCAUGGAGACAUCCUGCCUUAUUGGUGAAUCACCUUUUUAAAACUGCAGGUGAGAGACCAUCAUCAUCGUCAUCAGCCCAUCGUCUUCUCCACAUGUUUGGUGAAAGGACAGACCCUUCUGUGCUUUUAUCUCUGUGUUAGAGAGCUCACUGAUUAUGUGCUAGUUAACUAACCAGACAAUGACCCCUCAAACAUGAAUCUCUUACAGAUCAUGUGCAUUGUGGUUUGGUUUUGAAGUUCACCUUCACAUUUUGGAUGUGAUACUCACACAGUGUCAUAUAAUCACGCGACAUUAGCAUGUAUCGCUCUGUUCCUGCACAGCCUCAUGACUUAUUUCAAGUGUGACUGGAGGAGAGGAACAGUAAUGAAUCUCAGUUUGCUUUUCAAGAUUUCUCAGUAACAAAGCACAAAACUACUUAAUAUCUAAUAUUUCAUUUUAGAAAAUAAAUAAAUGUGAAAAAUAUUUUUGGUAAUGAAUUCAUGGGGCUUUGUUUUCAAUCCAUACACUGUACCACUUAUCCAUUGAAGGGAGCUGGAGGUGCAGUACACCCUGGACAACUAUUCACACCUACAUUCAAUUUAGAGUCUUCAAUCAAUUAUGUAUUUCUUAGUGCACACACUCCACUG
This is a non-coding RNA of Paralichthys olivaceus (Japanese flounder), 937 nucleotides long. NCBI's taxonomy places the organism in Eukaryota, Metazoa, Chordata, Actinopteri, Pleuronectiformes, Paralichthyidae. The record is from RefSeq and is a predicted model, not a curated record.